CCUACGGGGGGCAGCAGUGGGGAAUAUUGGACAAUGGGGGCAACCCUGAUCCAGCCAUGCCGCGUGUGUGAAGAAGGCCCUCGGGUUGUAAAGCACUUUCAGUGAGGAAGAACGCCUGGUGGUUAAUACCCAUCAGGAAAGACAUCACUCACAGAAGAAGCACCGGCUAACUCCGUGCCAGCAGCCGCGGUAAUACGGAGGGUGCGAGCGUUAAUCGGAAUUACUGGGCGUAAAGCGCGCGUAGGUGGCUUGAUAAGCCGGUUGUGAAAGCCCCGGGCUCAACCUGGGAACGGCAUCCGGAACUGUCAAGCUAGAGUGCAGGAGAGGAAGGUAGAUUUCCCGGUGUAGCGGGGAAAUGCGUAGAGAUCGGGAGGAAUACCAGUGGCGAAGGCGGCCUUCUGGACUGACACUGACCCUGAGGUGCGAAAGCGUGGGUAGCAAACAGGAUUAGAUACCCCGGUAGUC
RNAcentral lists this ribosomal RNA (465 nucleotides) under Vreelandella stevensii. RNAcentral describes it as "partial 16S ribosomal RNA". It matches the Rfam family "Bacterial small subunit ribosomal RNA", at positions 338 to 795 of the family's 1533-position model. The record is from RNAcentral. Lineage: Bacteria; Pseudomonadati; Pseudomonadota; Gammaproteobacteria; Oceanospirillales; Halomonadaceae.